UGGGGAAUUUUGGACAAUGGGCGAAAGCCUGAUCCAGCAAUGCCGCGUGUGUGAAGAAGGCCUUCGGGUUGUAAAGCACUUUUGUCCGGAAAGAAAUCCUCUGGGUUAAUACCUCGGGGGGAUGACGGUACCGGAAGAAUAAGCACCGGCUAACUACGUGCCAGCAGCCGCGGUAAUACGUAGGGUGCAAGCGUUAAUCGGAAUUACUGGGCGUAAAGCGUGCGCAGGCGGUUUUGCAAGACGGAUGUGAAAUCCCCGGGCUUAACCUGGGAACUGCAGUCGUGACUGCAAGGCUAGAGUAUGGCAGAGGGGGGUAGAAUUCCACGUGUAGCAGUGAAAUGCGUAGAGAUGUGGAGGAAUACCGAUGGCGAAGGCAGCCCCCUGGGCCAAUACUGACGCUCAUGCACGAAAGCGUGGGGAGCAAACA
RNAcentral lists this ribosomal RNA (427 nucleotides) under uncultured bacterium. RNAcentral describes it as "bacterial SSU rRNA". It matches the Rfam family "Bacterial small subunit ribosomal RNA", at positions 355 to 774 of the family's 1533-position model. The record is from RNAcentral.